RNAcentral lists this ribosomal RNA (119 nucleotides) under Salmonella enterica subsp. enterica serovar Dublin. Lineage: Bacteria; Pseudomonadati; Pseudomonadota; Gammaproteobacteria; Enterobacterales; Enterobacteriaceae. The record is from RNAcentral.
CUGGCGGCAGUAGCGCGGUGGUCCCACCUGACCCCAUGCCGAACUCAGAAGUGAAACGCCGUAGCGCCGAUGGUAGUGUGGGGUCUCCCCGCCGGGAGCGGAUUUGAACGUUGCGCAGC